Molecule: ribosomal RNA, 158 nt
Filed under: Metarhizium anisopliae
Lineage: Eukaryota; Fungi; Ascomycota; Sordariomycetes; Hypocreales; Clavicipitaceae
Also listed under: 13 other names
Description: 5.8S ribosomal RNA
Rfam family: 5.8S ribosomal RNA
About the family: 5.8S ribosomal RNA (5.8S rRNA) is a component of the large subunit of the eukaryotic ribosome. It is transcribed by RNA polymerase I as part of the 45S precursor that also contains 18S and 28S rRNA. Functionally, it is thought that 5.8S rRNA may be involved in ribosome translocation.
Source: RNAcentral
UUCAACAACGGAUCUCUUGGUUCUGGCAUCGAUGAAGAACGCAGCGAAAUGCGAUAAGUAAUGUGAAUUGCAGAAUUCAGUGAAUCAUCGAAUCUUUGAACGCACAUUGCGCCCGUCAGUAUUCUGGCGGGCAUGCCUGUUCGAGCGUCAUUACGCCC